GAGUUUGAUCUUGGCUCAGAGCGAACGCUGGCGGCAGGCCUAACACAUGCAAGUCGAACGGACCCUUCGGGUUAGUGGCGGACGGGUGAGUAACACGUGGGAACGUGCCUUUAGGUUCGGAAUAGCUCCUGGAAACGGGUGGUAAUGCCGAAUGUGCCCUUCGGGGAAAGGAUUUAUCGCCUUUAGAGCGGCCCGCGUCUGAUUAGCUAGUUGGUGAGGUAACGGCUCACCAAGGCGACGAUCAGUAGCUGGUCUGAGAGGAUGACCAGCCACACUGGGACUGAGACACGGCCCAGACUCCUACGGGAGGCAGCAGUGGGGAAUCUUGCGCAAUGGGCGAAAGCCUGACGCAGCCAUGCCGCGUGAAUGAUGAAGGUCUUAGGAUUGUAAAAUUCUUUCACCGGGACGAUAAUGACGGUACCCGGAGAAGAAGCCCCGGCUAACUUCGUGCCAGCAGCCGCCGCCGUAAG
This 470-nucleotide ribosomal RNA is filed under the name uncultured microorganism. RNAcentral describes it as "bacterial SSU rRNA". It matches the Rfam family "Bacterial small subunit ribosomal RNA", at positions 9 to 527 of the family's 1533-position model. The record is from RNAcentral.